AUUGAACGCUGGCGGCAGGCCUAACACAUGCAAGUCGAGCGGAGCGGCGGACGGGUGAGUAAUGCCUAGGAAUCUGCCUGGUAGUGGGGGAUAACGUCCGGAAACGGGCGCUAAUACCGCAUACUAUCAGAUGAGCCUAGGUCGGAUUAGCUAGUUGGUGGGGUAAAGGCAUCCCAAGGCGACGAUCCGUAACUGGGCUGAGAGGAUGAUCAGUCACACUUGAACUGAGACACGGUCCAGACUCCUACGUGGGGCAGAAGUUUGGACGAGUGGACAAUGGGCGAAAGCCUGUUCCAGCCAUGCCGCGUGUGUGAAGAAGGUCUUCGGAUUGUAAAGCACUUUAAUUUUUGAGGCGUUACCAACAGAAUAAGCACCGGCUAACUGCGUGCCAGCCGCCGCGGUAAUA
Molecule: ribosomal RNA, 406 nt
Filed under: uncultured bacterium
Lineage: Bacteria
Description: partial 16S ribosomal RNA
Rfam family: Bacterial small subunit ribosomal RNA
Source: RNAcentral